This 484-nucleotide ribosomal RNA is filed under the name uncultured bacterium. RNAcentral describes it as "partial 16S ribosomal RNA". It matches the Rfam family "Bacterial small subunit ribosomal RNA", at positions 30 to 507 of the family's 1533-position model. The record is from RNAcentral.
AUUGAACGCUGGCGGCAGGCCUAACACAUGCAAGUCGAGCGGAUGAAGGGAGCUUGCUCCUGGAUUCAGCGGCGGACGGGUGAGUAAUGCCUAGGAAUCUGCCUGGUAGUGGGGGAUAACGUCCGGAAACGGGCGCUAAUACCGCAUACGUCCUGAGGGAGAAAGUGGGGGAUCUUCGGACCUCACGCUAUCAGAUGAGCCUAGGUCGGAUUAGCUAGUUGGUGGGGUAAAGGCCUACCAAGGCGACGAUCCGUAACUGGUCUGAGAGGAUGAUCAGUCACACUGGAACUGAGACACGGUCCAGACUCCUACGGGAGGCAGCAGUGGGGAAUAUUGGACAAUGGGCGAAAGCCUGAUCCAGCCAUGCCGCGUGUGUGAAGAAGGUCUUCGGAUUGUAAAGCACUUUAAGUUGGGAGGAAGGGCAGUAAGUUAAUACCUUGCUGUCUUGACGUUACCAACAGAAUAAGAACCGGCUAACUUCGUG